RNAcentral lists this ribosomal RNA (853 nucleotides) under uncultured bacterium. RNAcentral describes it as "bacterial SSU rRNA". It matches the Rfam family "Bacterial small subunit ribosomal RNA", at positions 28 to 896 of the family's 1533-position model. The record is from RNAcentral.
AAUCAACGCUGGCGGCGUGCCUAACACAUGCAAGUCGCACGAGAAAGUGGUAGCAAUACCAUGAGUAAAGUGGCGCACGGGUGAGUAACACGUGACUAACCUACCCUAGAGUGGGGGAUAACCUCGGGAAACCGGGGCUAAUACCGCAUAACAUCUUUGGACGCAAGUCUGAUGAUCAAAGGAGUAAUCCGCUUUUGGAGGGGGUCGCGGCUGAUUAGCUAGUUGGUGAGGUAAUGGCUCACCAAGGCAGUGAUCAGUAUCCGGCCUGAGAGGGCGCACGGACACACUGGAACUGAAACACGGUCCAGACUCCUACGGGAGGCAGCAGUGGGGAAUUUUGCACAAUGGGGGAAACCCUGAUGCAGCAACGCCGCGUGGAGGAUGAAGGUCUUUGGAUUGUAAACUCCUUUCGAUCGGGACGAUUAUGACGGUACCGGAAGAAGAAGCACCGGCUAACUCUGUGCCAGCAGCCGCGGUAAUACAGAGGGUGCAAGCGUUGUUCGGAAUUAUUGGGCGUAAAGGGCGCGUAGGCGGUGCGGUAAGUCUCCUGUGAAAUCUCCGGGCUCAACUCGGAGUCUGCAGGGGAAACUGCCGUGCUUGAGUGUGGGAGAGGUGAGUGGAAUUCCCGGUGUAGCGGUGAAAUGCGUAGAUAUCGGGAGGAACACCUGUGGCGAAAGCGGCUCACUGGACCACAACUGACGCUGAGGCGCGAAAGCUAGGGGAGCAAACAGGAUUAGAUACCCUGGUAGUCCUAGCCCUAAACGAUGAUUGCUUGGUGUAGCAGGUACCCAAUCCUGCUGUGCCGAAGCUAACGCGAUAAGCAAUCCGCCUGGGGAGUACGGUCGCAAGGCUG